This 474-nucleotide ribosomal RNA is filed under the name Triticum aestivum (bread wheat). Its description in RNAcentral is "partial small subunit ribosomal RNA". The record is from RNAcentral. Lineage: Eukaryota; Viridiplantae; Streptophyta; Magnoliopsida; Poales; Poaceae.
UCACUGAUGUACCUAGCAUGUGCUACUUGUCCUGGCAUCUCAUUUGCUGUGUGCAAACUGAGCCGGUUUGUUUCCAAUCCGGGAGAUGUGCAUUGGCAUGCUGUUGAGCGAGUGAUGCAUUACUUGCAAGGUACUACGAAGUAUGGAAUUCACUAUUCUGGGUACCCAACAGUACUUGAGGGGUAUAGUGAUUCGAAUUGGAUAUCUGAUGCAGAUGAGAUGAAAGCCACAAGUGGAUAUAUCUUCACACUUGGUGGCGGUGUUGUUUCCUGGAAGUCUUACAAGCAGAUGAUCUUAACAAGAUCGACUAUGGAAGCAGAACUCACAGCAUUAGAGACAUCAUGCGUCGAAGCAGAAUGGCUUCGAGAGCUUUUGAUGGAUCUGCCGGUGGUUGAUAAACCAGUGUCGGCUGUCCUUAUGAACCGUGACAAUCAAAUGGUGAUUGCCAAGGCUAAGAGUUCAAAGGACAAUAUG